GACGAACGCUGGCGGCGUGCCUAAUACAUGCAAGUAGAACGCUGAAGGAGGAGCUUGCUCUUCUGGAUGAGUUGCGAACGGGUGAGUAACGCGUAGGUAACCUGCCUGGUAGCGGGGGAUAACUAUUGGAAACGAUAGCUAAUACCGCAUAACAGUAGAUGUUGCAUGACAUUUACUUAAAAGGUGCAAUUGCAUCACUACCAGAUGGACCUGCGUUGUAUUAGCUAGUUGGUGGGGUAACGGCUCACCAAGGCGACGAUACAUAGCCGACCUGAGAGGGUGAUCGGCCACACUGGGACUGAGACACGGCCCAGACUCCCACAGGAGGCAGCAGUAGGGAAUCUUCGGCAAUGGACGGAAGUCUGACCGAGCAACGCCGCGUGAGUGAAGAAGGUUUUCGGGUCGUCAAGCUCUGUUUUAUGAGAAGAACGAGUGUGAGAGUGGAAAGUUCACACUGUGACGGUACCUUACCAGAAAGCGACGGCUAACUACGUG
This 495-nucleotide ribosomal RNA is filed under the name uncultured bacterium. RNAcentral's name for it is "partial 16S ribosomal RNA". It matches the Rfam family "Bacterial small subunit ribosomal RNA", at positions 28 to 507 of the family's 1533-position model. The record is from RNAcentral.